GAAUUUCGCCAGAGCCGACCUCCUCCCCGGCAAUGGCGAAUAGAUCGGCCCCCUCCUCCUCCCUGGGGUCGAUCAGCAAAACGACACCCGCCGGACCUCCUCCCCCGGCGGGUGUUGUUU
This 120-nucleotide small RNA is filed under the name Manganibacter manganicus. Its description in RNAcentral is "Pseudaminobacter manganicus Alphaproteobacterial ar14". It matches the Rfam family "Alphaproteobacterial ar14". From Rfam's summary of the family: Smr14C2 was renamed NfeR1 (Nodule Formation Efficiency RNA) highly expressed in salt stress and during the symbiotic interaction on legume roots. Lineage: Bacteria; Pseudomonadati; Pseudomonadota; Alphaproteobacteria; Hyphomicrobiales; Phyllobacteriaceae. The record is from Rfam by way of RNAcentral.